UUUAUUAAUUUCAUAUUAUAUUGAAAAUGAUCGGUAUCAGUUAUUAAAUAAUGAUUAUAAAUGAUACUAUUAAUAAUGGUUCAAUAUUAUUUAUAUCUGUUCUGUUGCAUAAAAAAGAGCAAGAACUGCAAAACUCUAUACAAAUGACUUUCAGCUGGAUAUUCAGAUUAUUAAAAUCAGGGCUUCGGACCGAAAACCGAAAAAAAAAAACAGUUAUUUUUUCCGGAACGAAAACUGGAGCUGAACCGAAAAAAUCGGUUUUAUUUCGUUUUCGAGAUGGUACAUGAUCAUGAUACACACGCUCAUUAGCUUCAUCUCACUUCCCACUCCAGCGGUCACCAUAAAUUGAAGCCAGAAGCCAAGAGUUUGAAGCAAAUAACAUCUAAUCUAUUCUGUGAUGGGAUUCGUUUCUGUAUUUGCAGAGUAUACAAUAUAUCUUCGCGUCUUCGGCCUUUCAUAGCUGCGAUUUGUAAACAAACGACUUGCUACGAACACAGACGAUGAAUUUUGAUAUACAUUGAUGUGGUCUUCCAUACGCAAAAUUUAAGGUUCUGAUCGGAGGUUUAGUACUGAUAUCUUGAUUACUGUUAAAAUUCGUUUAGGCUUACGAAAUUGUAAAACAUGCAAUAAUCAAUGUUAUAUCAUUUUAUGUAGGUCUAUG
This 661-nucleotide long non-coding RNA is filed under the name Androctonus crassicauda. Lineage: Eukaryota; Metazoa; Arthropoda; Arachnida; Scorpiones; Buthidae. The record is from RNAcentral.